GUGGGGAAUAUUGGACAAUGGGCGAAAGCCUGAUCCAGCCAUGCCGCGUGUGUGAAGAAGGUCUUCGGAUUGUAAAGCACUUUAAGUUGGGAGGAAGGGCAGUAAGUUAAUACCUUGCUGUUUUGACGUUACCGACAGAAUAAGCACCGGCUAACUUCGUGCCAGCAGCCGCGGUAAUACGAAGGGUGCAAGCGUUAAUCGGAAUUACUGGGCGUAAAGCGCGCGUAGGUGGUUUUGUAAGUUGGAGGUGAAAUCCCCGGGCUCAACCUGGGAACUGCCUCCAAAACUGCAUGACUAGAGGACGGUAGAGGGUAGUGGAAUUUCCUGUGUAGCGGUGAAAUGCGUAGAUAUAGGAAGGAACACCAGUGGCGAAGGCGACUACCUGGACUGAUACUGACACUGAGGUGCGAAAGCGUGGGGAGCAAACAGGAUUAGAAACCCUAGUAGUCC
This 450-nucleotide ribosomal RNA is filed under the name uncultured bacterium. RNAcentral's name for it is "partial 16S ribosomal RNA". It matches the Rfam family "Bacterial small subunit ribosomal RNA", at positions 354 to 796 of the family's 1533-position model. The record is from RNAcentral.